GCGGGCGUGGUGAAAUUGGUAGACGCGCCGGACUCAAAAUCCGGUUCCGCAAGGAGUGUCGGUUCGAGUCCGACCGCCCGCACCA
Molecule: transfer RNA, 85 nt
Filed under: Azospirillum lipoferum
Lineage: Bacteria; Pseudomonadati; Pseudomonadota; Alphaproteobacteria; Rhodospirillales; Azospirillaceae
Also listed under: 44 other names
Description: tRNA-Leu
Rfam family: tRNA
About the family: Transfer RNA (tRNA) molecules are approximately 80 nucleotides in length. Their secondary structure includes four short double-helical elements and three loops (D, anti-codon, and T loops).
Source: RNAcentral